This 363-nucleotide ribosomal RNA is filed under the name Triticum aestivum (bread wheat). RNAcentral describes it as "partial small subunit ribosomal RNA". Lineage: Eukaryota; Viridiplantae; Streptophyta; Magnoliopsida; Poales; Poaceae. The record is from RNAcentral.
GCUCCCUGCUCUGCGGCGGCCGAGGCGGCGCGGGAGCUGCGUGACGCGGUGGCGGCCCUCGCCGUGCACCGCGCCGACGACGAGGACGUGCUGCGGCGCCGCAUCAUCGCGCUGGACGCCGACGUCCGCCGCCUACAGGGCUCCCUCCCCCUCGACCCCGCCACGCUCGACAUUACUACUCCAUAUGCUAGCCGCAGCGAGGGCGCCAAGAAGGGCGGCCACGGCGGCGCGGCCGCCACCGACCCGCGCCUCCAGGGCAUUUCCGACGCCAUCCGCGUCGUCCCGCACUUCCCCAAGCAAGGUCCGUCCGCCCAUCUCUGUGCGAAAACAUUACUACUAAGCAACCAUAACCCUCCUGUCUGA